AAGAAGAAGAAGAAGAGUGUGAGGUGUGGUAUGAGGGAAGCCUAGGUGAUCUUCUUUUCCGUGUACCUGUACAGGUGCCCUGCGCAUCAUAAAUCCAGCAUGUAGUGCCAGGAGCUGCCGAUACAAAGGCCUGGCGGGGGAGAAAUCUCAAGCCACCGGUGACAUCAAGAUCAAGCUUUCCCCAGUCUGAAGGACUACACAACACUGCUCAUUUUGGGGCUUCUCCAUUGCUCUUAGCAGUACAGUUUGCCUCAAGAUGGCCGUAUCUGUGAUAAGAUAUAAUUGCAUGGAAUACAUGAAGCUGAGAUGGAAGGAAGGCUGCAUAAGAUAGGACUUUGAUCCUCAGCUGUAUGGUGGUUGGAUGGCAGGCAGCCGACAGGUGCUCCAUUGACUCUGCCAGCCAUCACAAAUCUCCAACAAGUCGUCAUCGGUGUUGCUGUACCCACCAAAGCAACCUGGAUGGAGAGCUGCCUUGUACCCAGCGAAGAGACGAAACCGCUGUCAGUCAUACUUCAGAACUGUCAGAGAUAAACGAUUGUUAAAUCAGAAAAUUCAGCUCUAAAAUGUUCUUUAUAGCUACUGCCUGUACUCUACUUACCAUUGUAUGGGAGUUUUUCUCCGGGGACUAUUUUAGAUAUUUUCAACUAUAGUUGGUUGACCCAAGUCUGAAGUGAGCAUUAUCGCGCAACCUGCAGCCACACGGCGUGUCCGAUUUUGUGGAUACUGUAUGCUAGCCUACGCAUAGUAAACAAUUAUCAGUGUCAAUAAUAUGCAGGCAGCAAUAACAAAUUCCGUCUAUUGUAGUUGAUUAUGAGAAAAAAAUAUUAGUAAGGUCACAAAGAGCUGUUUUGUUAUAUACAAGAUCGCUGAUUAUGAUUAUUAAACAGCCUUGAAGCUGUCCACCACCAAGAAAAUUAGAAGGCUUUAUAUUUAUAAAACGGCUGUUUGCAACAUUACUAAUAUUUUUUUUAACUCAGAAUUGUCUAUAAUUGACAGCAUUUGUUAUUGCUGCCUGCAUAUUAUUGACACUGACGAUUGUUUACCAUACGUACGCUAGCAUACAGUAUCCACGAAAUUGGACAUGCCGUGUGGCUGCACGUUGCGCGAUAAUGCUCACUUCAGACUCGGGUGAACCGACUAUAGACAAUUUUUAUUUUUAAACCUUCAGAAACACCUACUACAGCACUUUUUGCUGCAUACUGAAAGUAAUCAGAUGCCUUAGCAAAGCAAUUGUUGACUCAAGCAGAUUACGACAGCUGCCUUAAGAGAAAUAGUCAGGAUAAUUUGAUGUGUUAUGUAUCAGUUACCUUACAGUAAAGAUUUGCUGUAAAA
This is a long non-coding RNA of Eriocheir sinensis (Chinese mitten crab), 1332 nucleotides long. RefSeq lists it as uncharacterized. Lineage: Eukaryota; Metazoa; Arthropoda; Malacostraca; Decapoda; Varunidae. The transcript is spliced from 5 exons. The record is from RefSeq and is a predicted model, not a curated record.